RNAcentral lists this ribosomal RNA (274 nucleotides) under uncultured bacterium. RNAcentral describes it as "partial 16S ribosomal RNA". It matches the Rfam family "Bacterial small subunit ribosomal RNA", at positions 523 to 796 of the family's 1533-position model. The record is from RNAcentral.
AUACAGAGGUUGCGAGCGUUAAUCGGAAUUACUGGGCGUAAAGCGCGCGUAGGCGGCUUAUUAAGUCAGAUGUGAAAUCCCCGGGCUCAACCGGGGAACUGCAUCUGAUACUGGUAAGCUAGAGUUUUGGAGAGGGAAGUAGAAUUUCAGGUGUAGCGGUGAAAUGCAUAGAGAUCUGAAGGAAUACCAGUGGCGAAGGCGACUUCCUGGCCAAAAACUGACGCUGAGGUGCGAAAGCGUGGGUAGCAAACGGGAUUAGAUACCCUAGUAGUCC